This 440-nucleotide ribosomal RNA is filed under the name uncultured bacterium. RNAcentral's name for it is "partial 16S ribosomal RNA". It matches the Rfam family "Bacterial small subunit ribosomal RNA", at positions 339 to 795 of the family's 1533-position model. The record is from RNAcentral.
UUACGGGUGGCACCAGUCGAGAAUCUUCGGCAAUGGACGAAAGUCUGACCGAGCGACGCCGCGUGCGGGAUGAAGGCCUUCGGGUUGUAAACCGCUGUCAGAGGGAAGGAAAUUUUGACCGAUCCUCAAAGGAAGUACGGGCUAAGUUCGUGCCAGCAGCCGCGGUAAGACGAACCGUACAAACGUUAUUCGGAAUCACUGGGCUUAAAGGGUGCGUAGGUGGUCUAUUAAGUUGGGUGUGAAAUCCCUCGGCUCAACCGAGGAACUGCGCUCAAUACUGGUAGACUUGAGGGAGAUAGAGGUGAGCGGAACUGAUGGUGGAGCGGUGAUAUGCGUUGAUAUCAUCGGGAACACCUGUGGCGAAAGCGGCUCACUGGAUCUCUUCUGACACUGAGGCACGAAAGCUAGGGGAGCGAACGGGAUUAGAUACCCCCGUAGUC